GACGAACGCUGGCGGCGUGCUUAACACAUGCAAGUCGAGCGGAAAGGCCCUUCGGGGUACUCGAGCGGCGAACGGGUGAGUAACACGUGGGUAACCUGCCCCUUGCUCUGGGAUAACUCCGGGAAACCGGGGCUAAUACCGGAUAUGACACUUGAAGGCAUCUUUGGGUGUGGAAAGUUUUUCGGCGAGGGAUGGACCCGCGGCCUAUCAGCUUGUUGGUGGGGUAAGUGGCCUACCAAGGCAGUGACGGGUAGCCGGCCUGAGAGGGCGACCGGCCACACUGGGACUGAGACACGGCCCAGACUCCUACGGGAGGCAGCAGUGGGGAA
RNAcentral lists this ribosomal RNA (329 nucleotides) under uncultured bacterium. Its description in RNAcentral is "bacterial SSU rRNA". It matches the Rfam family "Bacterial small subunit ribosomal RNA", at positions 28 to 361 of the family's 1533-position model. The record is from RNAcentral.